RNAcentral lists this ribosomal RNA (496 nucleotides) under uncultured bacterium. RNAcentral describes it as "partial 16S ribosomal RNA". It matches the Rfam family "Bacterial small subunit ribosomal RNA", at positions 29 to 507 of the family's 1533-position model. The record is from RNAcentral.
AUGAACGCUGGCGGCGUGCCUAAUACAUGCAAGUCGAGCGGACAGAUGAGGAGCUUGCUCCUCUGACGUUAGCGGCGGACGGGUGAGUAACACGUGGAUAACCUACCUAUAAGACUGGGAUAACUUCGGGAAACCGGAGCUAAUACCGGAUAAUAUAUUGAACCGCAUGGUUCAAUAGUGAAAGACGGUUUUGCUGUCACUUAUAGAUGGAUCGGCGCCGCAUUAGCUAGUUGGUAAGGUAACGGCUUACCAAGGCGACGAUGCGUAGCCGACCUGAGAGGGUGAUCGGCCACACUGGAACUGAGACACGGUCCAGACUCCUACGGGAGGCAGCAGUAGGGAAUCUUCCGCAAUGGGCGAAAGCCUGACGGAGCAACGCCGCGUGAGUGAUGAAGGUCUUCGGAUCGUAAAACUCUGUUAUUAGGGAAGAACAAAUGUGUAAGUAACUAUGCACGUCUUGACGGUACCUAAUCAGAAAGCCACGGCUAACUACGUG